RNA transcript from Calypte anna (Anna's hummingbird), 2921 nucleotides. It is a transcript of the gene named SEC22 homolog A, vesicle trafficking protein, with no coding region annotated. The record is from RefSeq and is a predicted model, not a curated record. The transcript has 9 exons. Lineage: Eukaryota; Metazoa; Chordata; Aves; Apodiformes; Trochilidae.
CGUUGCCAGGCGACGCGGCCGGCGCGCGCCCGGGGCCUGCCGGUGUCACAGGGGGGAAGGGGACGGGACGGGAACGGAACGGAACGGUGCCGGGACUGCUGCCGCAGGGCCCUGCGUCUGCCCGCUCUCCCCGGGCCGGAGGCUCGGUUACCGCCUGCCGUCCUCUUUUGGCUCCGGGCCUGGUGCGAAAGGCUGCCCCCGGGUACUGCCGGGCUCCCGUGGGUCUGUGAAGCGAAGCGAAGUCACUUGUCAGCGGCUGCUCCGCCUUCCGGGCCGCCGCCCUGCCGGGAGAGCCACCGGGGCGACUGCGUUUGUUCAUCAGAGGGGAUAGCUCAACAUGAACUUUAACCAUCAAGAUCAAUUGAAAAGUGAACAGAAUAAUAUUUUUCCUUCUGUGAGCUGCCUAGAGGAUUCUCCUGCAGUGCUGUCCUAUUCUCAACCUUUUCCUAAAACAGGACAUGGAGCUGUGUUCCUUUCUUCCCGUUAGGUGCUAAUUAAGUUACUUGCUUCAUCAGAGGAAAUGCAGAUCCAUGAAAUUGCAUUUUGUGCAAGUUGUUGUUAACUCUUUUGGCAAUGUCUAUGAUUUUGUCUGCCUCUGUGGUCCGUGUGAGGGAUGGACUCCCACUAUCUGCAUCUACUGAUUAUGAUCAGAGCACAGGAAUGCAAGAAUGUAGAAAAUACUUUAAAAUGCUCUCAAAGAAACUUUCUCAGCUUCCUGAUAGAUGUACUCUGAAAACUGGGCAGUAUAAUAUAAACUUUAUCAGUUCUCUGGGAGUCAGCUAUAUGAUGUUAUGCACUGAAAAUUAUCCCAAUGUUCUGGCUUUCUGCUUCCUGGAUGAGCUUCAGAAAGAAUUCAUCACUACUUACAAUAUGAUGAAGACAAAUACUGCUGUCAGACCAUACUGCUUUAUAGAGUUUGAUAAUUUCAUUCAGAGGACCAAACAGAGGUACAACAACACACGUUCUUUGUCAACAAAGAUGAAUCUUGCUGACAUGCAGACAGAAAUCAAACUGAGACCACCUUAUCAAAUUUCUGUGUCAGAACUUGGGUCAACCAAUGGAUUUGCACAUUUAUCUGCAACAGAAUAUAAGGGUACUGGUAAGAUAUCUGCAGCUCCUCAUCAGCGUCUGGAACCUGUGACUCUCCCCGGGAUUGUCUCAUUUGUACUUAGUCUGCUGUGUGGGGCUUUGAAUUUAAUUCGAGGCUUUCAUGCCAUAGAAAGUCUUCUCCAGAAUGAAGGUGAAGAUUUCAGCUAUGUUAUUGCAUUUUUUCUUGGAACAGCAGCUUGCUUGUACCAGUGUUACCUGUUUGUAUACUACACAGGCUGGAGGAAUGCCAAAUCCUUCCUGACUUUUGGGUUGAUUUGCUUGUGUAACAUGUAUCUGUAUGAACUACGCAACCUCUGGCAGCUUUUCUUUCAUGUGACUGUGGGAGCAUUUUCUACCUUACAAAUUCGACUGCGACAACCACAGGAAAAGUCCCCUGAUUACAAUGUCUGACAAGUCCUGGGACAUUUAGAGGCAGUCUUGUUCCAACAGAUACUUACUCUCAGGAAUGUAAAGCUGUUCUCCAGAAGAAGAAACUGUCUGGAUGGGGCUUUUUAAUUUGUUCUUUUUUUGUUGUUUUUUUAAUAUGUAAAAAUACUGGACUAGAGCAGGAAAACUGAUCUUAUCCAUGUGGUGAAAUAUACAUAGGGACACCAAGGUUGGGGAAUUUUUUCUGGUGGCAUGAAAAAAGCUUAAUUCAAAAGUCUAUUAAUAGGAAGAAUGUACAGAGUAUAUCUUUGGCAUAUCAUGCAAGCUCUUAACUUCCAAAGUCAGUUUUGCCUUUGUGAGGCAGUAGAAGAUAGGCUAAAAAAUAAUAAUAGUAGUGCUAUUGCAUACUAGCAAACUACAUUUGGAAUAUAUAAGAUAAAAAUUUUUGGAAUGUUUUGUUUCACAUUGACAUAUAUGUGAAUGUUUUCUUAAUUAAAAUGUAACCUGGAAACUGUUUCUGGGGAUCAGCUUUAUGAUACCCGUGGUCCUCUGUCUAGUGUUAUAAAUACUUCAACGUUUUUUAAUUGAUGAUUUCCUUUUAAUUAUCCUUUGAAGGUGAUCUAUGAGUACAGGGUUUCUUUUUAGUAAUUAUGCAAAAUGUUCUGCUGCUUAAGACAGGAUUUUGCACGCUUCCUUUGUUUGAACUCUGAAAGGAAGGUCUAAAGGAAAUGGAUUGGUGGUAUUAGUCAAGAAAAUGAUGCAUAAUACAAUCAAGAAGACUUAGAGAAUGGAAUUGUAAUGCAGAGUGAAUGGGAGCAAUACAUACUUUAUUCUUCAUAAUGUGGUUCUCAGACUCUUGUCUGAAAUUAAGACCUUGAAGAUCCCUUGGUGUGCAGCCUUGGAGUUUGGUGUUGAUGAUGUACUUUAAUUCUUCCCUCCCCAUUUUGAAAGAGACAAGAAGAAUGCAUUAAUGAACAGUUUGCUUUUGUUUGGGGAAGGAAGAGAAAAGGUCUGAAGGACUGGAUGGAAGGAGACAAGAAUUUUAGGAAAUGUUUACACUAUGAGUGUUUUUUAAAUCCAGCAGAAGAGAAACCAGUCUUUGCUUAUCACUGAGACAUUUGGUUGUGUUAGCAUUUGGGGCACUUUUCUGAACUCUCAGCACCAGGAAAGGUGAAAAGCAGUCCUUUACCAUUUUAAGACAGUGAUUGAAAAAUACAGCUAGUCACGUAUAAAGCCAGGUUUCGUCUUGCUUAUAAAGUCUAGAAGAGUCCUUAUACCUGUCUUUUCACUUCAUCUCCAUUGAUGGGCUGGGAAGCUAUUAGGAAUGCCUGGAGUACUGCUUAGUUUUUAAUUCAGGUUGUUGUGUACAUGGAGAAUUUUCUGUUGCCUCAUUUCUUCAGUUUAUAUGUUGGCAGAGAAUCUUGUUUUCUCUGAGACUCUUUCCC